Molecule: non-coding RNA, 397 nt
Organism: Danio rerio (zebrafish)
Lineage: Eukaryota; Metazoa; Chordata; Actinopteri; Cypriniformes; Danionidae
Source: RefSeq, a predicted model, not a curated record
UGAUUUUUCUUGAUCUUUCAAGAUUUCAUUUUUCGUUAUUUUUCUAUGUUUUUUCAUUUCUCGAGAUUUUUCAUGACACUGAAGCGGUUCCAGCAGUACAUUCUCAGCAAAGAUAUAGGCUUUAUUUUAUUUUUUUAACUACUUUAUUAAAAAUAUAUAUCAUGCUGGCAACAUUUCAUGCAAACUACAACUUGUAACUCACAGAAACCCCCAAAGGACAGGCCUUUUCCUGCAGUGGCGGCCAGCUCCAGCUCAUCGGGUUCUAGAGGUGACGGUGGAUGCGCAGAUGAUGCGCUACUUGUGAAAAACCCUCAAUGCUUUUGAAGCACAAGCAGUUGAGGACAAAGGCGGUCUGCCGAAGAAACCACUCAGCUCCUCUGAAAGACAAGGUAUAUCA